RNAcentral lists this unclassified non-coding RNA (236 nucleotides) under fungal sp. RNAcentral's name for it is "partial internal transcribed spacer region". The stretch from base 1 to 46 matches the Rfam family "Eukaryotic small subunit ribosomal RNA", at positions 1786 to 1831 of the family's 1831-position model. Lineage: Eukaryota; Fungi. The record is from RNAcentral.
AAGUCGUAACAAGGUUUCCGUAGGUGAACCUGCGGAAGGAUCAUUAACACGUAUCCAAACGUUAAAACCCCCCCCGUGAACCUUCAUCCUGCUCUUGUAACCCGAUUCCUGUAGACCGUACAUUCGGGCAAAGGGUCCCCAUGCCCCCUAAUAACCCCACAGUUUAAUGUGAAGCUCAAUGUAAUACAUUGGGUAAGAAAACCGAACAACUGUUAACAAUGGAUAUCUUGGUUCUC